Long non-coding RNA from Eptesicus fuscus (big brown bat), 767 nucleotides. RefSeq lists it as uncharacterized. The record is from RefSeq and is a predicted model, not a curated record. NCBI's taxonomy places the organism in Eukaryota, Metazoa, Chordata, Mammalia, Chiroptera, Vespertilionidae. The transcript has 3 exons.
UCAUCAUUGGGCCUAUGGAUACUUAUUCCUGAGGACGGAGUCACCUCUCUGUAGAAGAACCCAGGUUCCCCUCUUCCAAGAUGGUGCCCCUUACCAGUGAAAUGAGGCCUGUGAUGGGUGGUCCGGAAGACAGAUCCAGAGCAUGUCCUGAGAGCCCUCUACCCACCCGAUAUCUUCAUCCUGCCCACCUUUCAUGAACUGGAAUCUGAAGGUUUGGCUGGGAUCUUCAGCAGCUGCCCCAGGGACUCCCCACGAUCCCAAGUGCGUGCUGGAAGCAGGCUGCAAUGGAUCUCGGAGCUUCCAAGCAGCCAGAGCUAAGAGGGAGAUAAGACAGCGGGGAUGCCUGCCGUUGAGACCUGCAGGAGUUUCCCCCAAAAGUCCUCAGAAAGAUGCAGUGUGACUCAGAGUUAGAAAGGAACAAAUAAAUGCCUGUUCCAUAGUGGUUUGGUUACACAAAUGACUGCAUUUGUCAAAGCUCACCGAAGAGUGCACUUAAGAUUUGUGCAUUUUACUCAGCAAACUUUACCUGAAAAAGAAAAGAACUAUAAACAAAUGUAGUUAAUGAUAUGCCUGCUGAAGUGUUUAGGGGUGAACGGACAUCGCAGCUUACUUUGAAAUGCAUCAAAAAAAAGUCAGAUGAAUUGCUGGGUGGAAGGAAGACUAGAGGGACUGACAUGCAAUGAAGCACGUGUAGUAAAACGGUGGUGGGCAUGAAGUGUGGGCUGUACAAUUCUUUCAACUUUCUGUGUUUGAACAUUUUCUUAAUA